RNAcentral lists this ribosomal RNA (483 nucleotides) under uncultured bacterium. RNAcentral's name for it is "bacterial SSU rRNA". It matches the Rfam family "Bacterial small subunit ribosomal RNA", at positions 12 to 507 of the family's 1533-position model. The record is from RNAcentral.
UUUGACUCCGUGGCUCGAGGACGACGCUGGCGGCGUGCCUAACACAUGCAAGUCGAACGGACGAGGGGGAGCUUGCUCCCCGAGUUAGUGGCGAACGGGUGAGUAACGCGUGAGAAACCUGCCUUUCAGUGGGGGACAACAGUUGGAAACGACUGCUAAUACCGCAUGAUGUUAUUUGGGGGCAUCCCUGGAUAACCAAAGCUUUAUGUGCUGAAAGAUGGUCUCGCGUCUGAUUAGCUAGUUGGCGGGGUAACGGCCCACCAAGGCGACGAUCAGUAGCCGGACUGAGAGGUUGACCGGCCACAUUGGGACUGAGAUACGGCCCAGACUCCUACGGGAGGCAGCAGUGGGGAAUAUUGGGCAAUGGACGCAAGUCUGACCCAGCAACGCCGCGUGAAGGAAGAAGGCCUUCGGGUUGUAAACUUCUUUACCAGGGACGAAGAACGUGACGGUACCUGGAGAAAAGCCACGGCUAACUACGUG